AUGCACUCCAGCUUUCUGCUCUGCUCCCUUUCCCCUCCAACCAGGCAGGAGUUGGAGGAGAGCAAACACGGCUGUAAGCUCCCUGCAGGGUGUCCCAACAAAGCCUGGCACGGCUGGGAAAUUAGUCAGAAACUGCUGGAAACAGAGCAACCUGGGAGGAAUCUGCUUCAUCACACUGCUGCUGUUGCCCAACGUGAGUUCUGCAGUGAUCGGCUCCAGCUGACUCAGUGCAGAGCCCCGGCAGGGAAGAGCUCAUGUCAGGAAGUGCGUGUGGUUCAGACGGCUGGGGACGCCGCAUGUCGGAGAGCCUCAGCUGGCACAUGUCUGGAACAGAGCGGCCAGAGGGGAUUUGGUGCUGAGUGUUGCAGACAGAGCUUUGUACCGGUUGGAGCGAGAAAAUAUAAGAAGUGGAAGAUGAGAGAGUUCCAUUGCUGUGGGUCUGGCAGUCACGCAGGCUGCCCAGACCUUGUGGACUGCCUAUGCUGGGGCACUGGAAGGUUUUACUCUGUCUGGAUGCUGCUGUGGGAGUGCUAUUGAGGUGGGCAAACUCUGCUUGGUCCCAGUGAGCUUCCAGAGUAAGAUUUCAGCUGAAAGUCAAAGAAACCCAAAGAUAGAAGCAGAAAUACCGUGAGAAAAAAUGAACCCGUAGUUUUCAAGCCGAGUGUGAUACAAGAGGUAAGGGAACUGACUUUGACGUGAUUAACUGCUAGGCCUGUUUGCCAAAAACUGAAACGUCUCCCAUCAUUAUCUUACACUCCCCCUUACGCAGAUUGCUGAACCAGAUCCACAGAUGAUAUCAGCUGGUGGGUGCAGGUACAUUCAUGCGAGUAGUGUUACAGUGAUUUAAGCUAGAUGACAAUCAGCCUCACCAGUUUCAGGAAGUGAGUUUUAUUAUUCAUUUGAUUGAAAGGUAUUUUCCAAUUGUUGCAAAGUGGGAAAUGUGUUUCGAAUUCAUCAUUUUUUUAAGCCUCACACACAUUGUUUGGCAAAUAAGGAUUGUUUUGGUUGUCUGGGACUCGUCCUUUGCAUCCUCCCAAAUGUGAGAUUUUCCUCUUUUCUCUAAUGGGCCAUUCUGGUCCAGCUAAACACACAGUGGCCAGCUUUGCAAAGCAAUAAGCCUUCUUUAGAAUGAGGCCUUUGGUUUCAUCUCUAAUCUUUGUGGAAAAACUGGACAUUACAGUAGAAGGAUUAUGCUAAAUUGCUUUCUGCCACUGAAGAGCUGGACAAAGCAGCAGUUCAAGGCAUGGAAUGAGUAUUCUGAAAUAAGCACUUUGUCACUGAAUUCACUACCAAGAAAUUAACCUAAAUGAUUUCAAUAUACAAGUGUUUGUAAUUUGCAUCUAAGCCUUACACCUUACAGAGACUUCCUUGUUUGCUGUUACUGUAGUCAGUGUUUGCUCACAGGCUGCUUAAAAUCAAGCAGCGAGGUCAAGCUGGGACCCGAUCCAAAGCGGACUGCCUUGCCUUGUCUGCAUAACCUCCCAGGGCUCAUUGCUCUUCAGAGGACUUGAAUGGUGCAAGACUGAGUCUGAAAUUUGUUACUGCAAGGCAGGUUUCCUCCAUUACUUGGGAAUAUCUGAUCAAACCAGAGACCUUCAUGCGAAUACUACUGUCACUCCUGUCCUACACUGAAUUGCUCUCUGAAGAAGACUGCCUUUCUCUCUCUCUCUUACUCAACAGAUAUUUUACAAAGGAUCUAUCAUUUUUCCUUAAGACACAAAUUCACAUCACCUUUGGAUGAUCAAAUCUAAAUUAUUCUGGGUGCAUAUGAGUUACAAGAGGUAACCUCCAUGUGCACAGCUUUCACACUGGUAUCUUCUUUCUACACAUUCUGUAUCAGAUAUUAACCAGUCUCCUCCUCCUUUCUUCCCCCACUCUUAGCCAUCAGAUCUUUUUGCACAUUGAUAUCACUCUCAUGUGAUUUUGUUACCUUUCCAUUUUCCAUUCAGAACAAUGUAAUCUCCAAACAGAAAAACUCCAUGGCAAGAUAAGAUGCUCAUCAACAGGACCACCUACUCCUGUCCCAGGUAAAGGAAUCAUCCAAGGCUAUUGUAAAUGCAAAUGUACACAGGACUUAGGGUGCUGUCCAUAGUUUUGCAGCAUUAGAUCAUAGAAUCAUAGAAUCAUAGAAUCAUAGAAUCAUAGAAUCAUAGAAUCAUAGAAUCACAGAAUCAUAGAAUCAUAGAAUCAUAGAAUGGCCUGGGCUGAAAAGGACCUGAAAGAUCAUCUAGUUUCAACUCCCUUGCCAUGGGCAUGGUUGCCAACCGCUCAACCAUUAGAUAAUGUGGUCUUUGUACAUGUGCAAUUGGUUGCAGCCAUUAGUCUUCUCCAUUUCUCUUUCAGACUGAGGAUAUUUCUGCCCCAGCAGCAAAACUGAACCUGCAAAAAAGUCCUCUUGUUUUCAUUCCUGUCAGAACCACAAUAUUCAAAUUAAAAAAAACCUCAAUUUUUGAUUUUGUAUCUCACACUCAGGAGAAAACAACUAUGCAUGGGAAGGGACAAAACAAAAAACCUCUGCAUUUAUUAACCCCAAAGUCUUCAAGAAAUAAAGGUAUGAUUUAAAAAUGCCUGUGUAUAAGU
This 2580-nucleotide long non-coding RNA is filed under the name Numida meleagris (helmeted guineafowl). RNAcentral's name for it is "lncRNA (ENSNMEG00000008304.1)". Lineage: Eukaryota; Metazoa; Chordata; Aves; Galliformes; Numididae. The record is from RNAcentral.